Bos taurus (domestic cattle) is the source of this 806-nucleotide long non-coding RNA. The record is from Ensembl. NCBI's taxonomy places the organism in Eukaryota, Metazoa, Chordata, Mammalia, Artiodactyla, Bovidae.
GGCAAGUCUGGCGUGGUGCAGUCCAUGGGAUCGCAAAGGGUUGGACACGACUGAGCAACUGACAACAAUGUUUCCUCAAGUGGGUAUGACAUCUCCCUUACCUAGGGGCCAGCCUGCCCCAGGGAGAGAGAUGACAGGUGAGAGAGUUUGCAGCAGUCCUCAUGUCAGCUGGACCCCUCUGGAGGUCUGCAUGCCUCUUUGCAGUCCCCAUGUCUCCAGACAUUCUUUCCCUAAAGGGGUAGGUGAGCGGGACUCCAGAGUCCCCACUUCAGCUCCCCAGACCUUCCGUGUAAGUGGCUGUCUUUUCCAGAGUUUUCACGUCAGGGGCCCUGCCCCUCCCAGUUAGAAUUGUCCGAGCGCUGCCUGAACUUGCUGACAGGACUUUGUGCUUGAAGACAUAAAGAGAAAAAGAAGUGGAAAAGAUAACCAGGAAGGACAACGGUGACUGGCAGACCGACUUUGUCUCUACAUCAGGGGAGCAUACAACAGAUGUGGAUAUUAUCCUUAACCAGGAGACCUGAAACUCCAUUCUAAACUUGGGAAGAGAAGGCUGCCUUCAUCCGUUCACCGCACCUGUCCAAGAACCCUGAUGGGAGAAGAAGGCAUGCUCCCAGACUUUGCUUGGCCAUGAGGAUGGAGAGAGCAACUGGAGUCCUUGCUCAGAGCAACAGGCACAGUGGAACCAGAGCAGCCUGCAGAAGUCAAACACACCCUGGAAGUUUUGAGGAACUCCAGAGAGCCAAGAUUCAACAGUUUGCACACCUUCUUCCAGGAUGUUCAGAAACCACUUGAGAAGUAAAUUCAGA